This 255-nucleotide ribosomal RNA is filed under the name uncultured bacterium. RNAcentral's name for it is "partial 16S ribosomal RNA". It matches the Rfam family "Bacterial small subunit ribosomal RNA", at positions 524 to 776 of the family's 1533-position model. The record is from RNAcentral.
UACGGGGGGGGCAAGCGUUGUUCGGAUUUACUGGGCGUAAAGGGCGCGUAGGCGGCCUCUGCAAGUCGACUGUGAAAUCUCCGGGCUUAACCCGGAAAGGUCAGCCGAUACUGCAGGGCUAGAGUGCAGAAGGGGCAACUGGAAUUCUCGGUGUAGCGGUGAAAUGCGUAGAUAUCGAGAGGAACACCUGCGGCGAAGGCGGGUUGCUGGGCUGACACUGACGCUGACAGCGCGAAAGCUAGGGGAGCGAACGGG